GGGGUUGUGGCUCAGCGGUAGACCACCGCCUAGCAUGUGCGAGCCCCUGCGUUCGAUCCUCAGCACCACA
Molecule: transfer RNA, 70 nt
Filed under: Marmota monax (woodchuck)
Lineage: Eukaryota; Metazoa; Chordata; Mammalia; Rodentia; Sciuridae
Description: tRNA.Ala
Source: RNAcentral